GUUGUAAGCUCAGUGGUAGAAUACUUGCCUAGCAUGUAUGAGGCCCUGGGUUUGAUCCCCAGUACCACA
RNAcentral lists this transfer RNA (69 nucleotides) under Marmota monax (woodchuck). Its description in RNAcentral is "tRNA.Ala". Lineage: Eukaryota; Metazoa; Chordata; Mammalia; Rodentia; Sciuridae. The record is from RNAcentral.